RNAcentral lists this ribosomal RNA (642 nucleotides) under Sarcocystis sp. RNAcentral's name for it is "SSU rRNA". It matches the Rfam family "Eukaryotic small subunit ribosomal RNA", at positions 455 to 1077 of the family's 1831-position model. The record is from RNAcentral. Lineage: Eukaryota; Apicomplexa; Conoidasida; Eucoccidiorida; Sarcocystidae.
CUCAGGGAGGUAGUGACAAGAAAUAACAACACUGGAAAUUUUAUUUCUAGUGAUUGGAAUGAUGGGAAUUUAAACCCCUUUCAGAGUAACAAUUGGAGGGCAAGGCUGGUGCCAGCAGCCGCGGUAAUUCCAGCUCCAAUAGCGUAUAUUAAAGUUGUUGCAGUUAAAAAGCUCGUAGUUGGAUGUCUGCUGGAAGCAAUCGGUUCGCCCUAUUUGUAGGGUGUGCACUUGAUGAAUUCUGGCAUCUUUAUCCCAUGAAUGAUCGUGUGUGUGGGAGCGUCAUAGCUCUCCACCGACGCGUUGUUUUUGGGAUACUGUUACUUUGAGAAAAUUAGAGUGUUUGAAGCAGGCUAAUUGCCUUGAAUACUGCAGCAUGGAAUAACAAUAUAGGAUUUCGGUUCUAUUUUGUUGGUUUCUAGGACUGAAAUAAUGAUUAAUAGGGACAGUUGGGGGCAUUCGUAUUUAACUGUCAGAGGUGAAAUUCUUAGAUUUGUUAAAGACGAACUACUGCGAAAGCAUUUGCCAAAGAUGUUUUCAUUAAUCAAGAACGAAAGUUAGGGGCUCGAAGACGAUCAGAUACCGUCGUAGUCUUAACCAUAAACUAUGCCGACUAGAGAUAGGAAAAUGUCAUUUUGCUGACUU